Molecule: long non-coding RNA, 151 nt
Organism: Cercocebus atys (sooty mangabey)
Lineage: Eukaryota; Metazoa; Chordata; Mammalia; Primates; Cercopithecidae
Exons: 3
Source: RefSeq, a predicted model, not a curated record
UCCUGCCUCAGCCUCCUGAGUAGCUGGGACCACAGAAAAAUGGUAAUGCUUCUGUGUUCCUCCGACUUAUUGGAGAAAAGAGAACCAGAGGAAAUUCACCUACAGACAAAGAAAGAAUAAGGGAGACUUGAAAAGAAGAAGAGAGGUGACA